This 741-nucleotide ribosomal RNA is filed under the name uncultured archaeon. RNAcentral describes it as "bacterial SSU rRNA". It matches the Rfam family "Archaeal small subunit ribosomal RNA", at positions 138 to 879 of the family's 1478-position model. The record is from RNAcentral.
AAUUGAGAAUAAUACUCCAUANGUUUAGGAGGCUGGAAUGCNCCUAGGCUGAAAACUCCCGGUGCCUUAGGAUGAGUCUGCGGACUAUCAGGUUGUAGUCAGGGUAAAGACCUGACUAGCCUACGACGGAUACGGGUUGUGAGAGCAAUAACCCCGGAGAUGAUAUCUGAGACACGAUAUCAGGCCCUACGGGGCGCAGCAGGCGCGAAAACUUCGCACUGCGCGAAAGCGCGAUGAGGGAAUCCCAAGUGUAUGCACGUAAGUGCAUACUGUUUCUUUGUUUAAAAUGCAUAGAGAGUAAGGGCUGGGUAAGACGGGUGCCAGCCGCCGCGGUAAUACCUGCAGCUCGAGUGGUGAUCACUAUUAUUGGGCCUAAAACGUCCGUAGCCGGUCUUAUAAAUGCCUGGGUAAAUCGUGCCGCUUAACGGUACGAAUUCCGGGUAGACUGUAAGACUUGAGACCGGGUGAGGCUAGAGGUACUCCUGGGGUAGAGGUGAAAUUCUGUAAUCCUAGGGGGACCACCAGUGGCGAAGGCGUCUAGCUAGAACGGGUCUGACGGUGAGGGACGAAGCCCUGGGGCGCAAACCGGAUUAGAUACCCGGGUAGUCCAGGGUGUAAACGCUGCUUGCUUGAUGUUAGUCGGGCUUCGAGCCCGAUUAGUGUCGGAGUGAAGAUGUUAAGCAAGCUGCCUGGGAAGUACGGUCGCAAGGCUGAAACUUAAAGGAAUUGGCGGGGGAGCAC